This is a non-coding RNA of Odocoileus virginianus texanus, 596 nucleotides long. The record is from RefSeq and is a predicted model, not a curated record. Lineage: Eukaryota; Metazoa; Chordata; Mammalia; Artiodactyla; Cervidae.
GACGUGGGGGUUGGGGGAGCUCCCCACCCUCUGGGCCUCUGGCCUUCUUCACUGUAACAGGAGGGGGCACGAAAGGUCUCUAAACUCUAAUGCAUGGGGGGGGGGCAUCGGAACCCCCACCAGCGUCAAGAAGGAAGAAGCCCAUCAUGUGCUGAGCCACCUCUAAGAUCCAGGCAGUGAAGAAAGCAGGGUGCACGGCAGCAGUCGGGGGAAUGCUGCUGUUUGUGUCGUUUGGAAAAACAUCUCAGAAGAAAAUAUGGAUUCUUCACCAUCAGCGCCAUCUGGGGAGCUGUAGGAAGAAGUACUUGCAAUAGAGGUCUCUUAAGUCACCACUGAAAUCUGUCUUCAGCGUGACUGUCCUCUGUGGAUGGAAGCAUGAGAGGACAGAAUACAGUUGUCACCAAAUGAAACUUCCCAGGUGGAAAGAAGUGAUGCUAUCAGAAAGACAGCCCUGAUAAUCACCCUGAUUUACGUGAAAGAUCAAUCAUCUGUUAACUUUCAUUCUACUAACCUUUAUGUUAGUUACUAAUGGAUUUCUGAUGGUUUUGCCUCCAGCAUUCUUUACUUUCUCCUUUAGUAAAACAUCUUUGGAUUCC